RNAcentral lists this ribosomal RNA (424 nucleotides) under uncultured Bacteroidales bacterium. Its description in RNAcentral is "bacterial SSU rRNA". It matches the Rfam family "Bacterial small subunit ribosomal RNA", at positions 355 to 774 of the family's 1533-position model. The record is from RNAcentral. Lineage: Bacteria; Pseudomonadati; Bacteroidota; Bacteroidia; Bacteroidales.
UGAGGAAUAUUGGUCAAUGGCCGAGAGGCUGAACCAGCCAAGUAGCGUGCAGGAUGACGGCCCUCCGGGUUGUAAACUGCUUUUAGUUGGGAAUAAAAGACGCCACGUGUGGCGUGUAUUGUAUGUACCAUCAGAAAAAGGACCGGCUAAUUCCGUGCCAGCAGCCGCGGUAAUACGGAAGGUCCGGGCGUUAUCCGGAUUUAUUGGGUUUAAAGGGAGCGCAGGCGGACUGGUAAGUCAGCUGUGAAAGUUCGGGGCUCAACCUUGAAAUUGCAGUUGAUACUGUCAGUCUUGAGUGCACGCAGGGGUGCUGGAAUUCAUGGUGUAGCGGUGAAAUGCUUAGAUAUCAUGAAGAACUCCGAUCGCGAAGGCAUGUGCCCGGAGUGCAACUGACGCUGAGGCUCGAAAGUGCGGGUAUCAAACA